Molecule: ribosomal RNA, 440 nt
Filed under: uncultured bacterium
Lineage: Bacteria
Description: partial 16S ribosomal RNA
Rfam family: Bacterial small subunit ribosomal RNA
Source: RNAcentral
CCUACGGGAGGCAGCAGUGGGGAAUAUUGCACAAUGGGGGAAACCCUGAUGCAGCGACGCCGCGUGAGUGAAGAAGUAUUUCGGUAUGUAAAGCUCUAUCAGCAGGGAAGAAAAUGACGGUACCUGACUAAGAAGCCCCGGCUAACUACGUGCCCACAGCCGCGGUAAUACGUAGGGGGCACACGUUAUCCGGAUUUACUGGGUGUAAAGGGAGCGUAGACGGUGCAGCAAGUCUGAUGUGAAGGGCCGGGGCCCAACCCCGGGACUGCAUUGGAAACUGUUGAACUGGAGUACAGGAGAGGUAAGCGGAAUUCCUAGUGUAGCGGUGAAAGGCGUAGAUAUUAGGAGGAACACCAGUGGCGAAGGCGGCUUACUGGACUGUAACUGACGUUGAGGCUCGAAAGCGUGGGGAGCAAACAGGAUUAGAUACCCUGGUAGUC